GGGGCUGACUUGGAUUUCGACAGAUUUCUUGUCGCACAGAUAGCAUGCCAAGCGCUGCUUGUAAAACAGCAACAAAAAUAACUGUAAACAACACAGAUUACGCUCCAGCUUACGCUAAAGCCGCGUGAGUUAAUCUCCUUUUGGAGCUGGACUGAUUAGAAUUUCUAGCGUUUUAAUCACUCCAUAACCUUAAGCUAGACGCUUUUAAAAGGUGGUUCGCCUUUUAAACUAAGAAACAAGAACUCUUGAAACUACCUCAAGGUUUUAGAAAGUUGGACCAGAGCUAGUUUUAAGGCUAAAAAGCUAACCAAUUUUCUAAGCAUUGUAGAAGUUUGUGUUUAGGACAAGAUUUUUGGACUGGGGUUCGAUUCCCCACAGCUCCACCA
RNAcentral lists this transfer-messenger RNA (386 nucleotides) under Helicobacter pylori. It matches the Rfam family "transfer-messenger RNA". Rfam says of the family: Bacterial tmRNA, also known as 10Sa RNA or SsrA, is named for its dual tRNA and mRNA-like properties. Its role is to liberate the mRNA from a stalled ribosome. The record is from RNAcentral. Lineage: Bacteria; Pseudomonadati; Campylobacterota; Epsilonproteobacteria; Campylobacterales; Helicobacteraceae. RNAcentral also lists the same sequence under 1 other name.